GAUGAACGCUGGCGGCGUGCCUAAUACAUGCAAGUCGAGCGAACGGACGAGAAGUUUGCUUCUCUGAUGUUAGCGGCGGACGGGUGAGUAACACGUGGAUAACCUGCCUAUAAGACUGGGAUAACUUCGGGAAAGCGGAUCUAACACCGGAUGAUAUUUUGAACCGCAUGGUUCAUAAGUGAAAGACGGUCUUGCUGUCACUUAUAGAGGGUUCCGAGCUGCAUUAGCUAGUUGGUAAGGUAACGGCUUACCAAGGCAACGAUGCAUAGCCGACCUGAGAGGGUGAUCGGCCACACUGGAACUGAGACACGGUCCAGACUCCUACGGGAGGCAGCAGUAGGGAAUCUUCCGCAAUGGGCGAAAGCCUGACGGAGCAACGCCGCGUGAGUGAUGAAGGUCUUCGGAUCGUAAAGCUCUUUUAUUAGGGAAGAACAUAUGUGUAAGUAACUGUGCACAUCUUGACGGUACCUAAUCAGAAAGCCACGGCUAACUACGUG
Molecule: ribosomal RNA, 497 nt
Filed under: uncultured bacterium
Lineage: Bacteria
Description: partial 16S ribosomal RNA
Rfam family: Bacterial small subunit ribosomal RNA
Source: RNAcentral